This 253-nucleotide ribosomal RNA is filed under the name uncultured bacterium. RNAcentral describes it as "partial 16S ribosomal RNA". It matches the Rfam family "Bacterial small subunit ribosomal RNA", at positions 524 to 776 of the family's 1533-position model. The record is from RNAcentral.
UACAGAGGGUGCAAGCGUUGUUCGGAAUUACUGGGCGUAAAGGGCGCGUAGGCGGUUUAGUAAGUCAGAUGUGAAAUCCCGGGGCUUAACUCCGGAAGUGCAUUUGAAACUACUAGACUAGAGUGAUGUAGAGGUUGGUGGAAUUCCCAGUGUAGAGGUGAAAUUCGUAGAUAUUGGGAGGAACACCGGUGGCGAAGGCGGCCAACUGGGCAUUAACUGACGCUGAGGCGCGAAAGCGUGGGGAUCAAACAGG